RNAcentral lists this ribosomal RNA (460 nucleotides) under uncultured bacterium. RNAcentral's name for it is "partial 16S ribosomal RNA". It matches the Rfam family "Bacterial small subunit ribosomal RNA", at positions 338 to 795 of the family's 1533-position model. The record is from RNAcentral.
CCUACGGGAGGCAGCAGUGAGGAAUAUUGGACAAUGGACGAGAGUCUGAACCAGCCAAGUCGCGUGAAGGAUGACUGCCCUAUGGGUUGUAAACUUCUUUUAUAUGGGAAUAAAAUGUUCCACGUGUGGGAUUUUGUAUGUACCAUAUGAAUAAGGAUCGGCUAACUCCGUGCCAGCAGCCGCGGUAAUACGGAGGAUCCGAGCGUUAUCCGGAUUUAUUGGGUUUAAAGGGAGCGUAGGUGGAUUGUUAAGUCAGUUGUGAAAGUUUGCGGCUCAACCGUAAAAUUGCAGUUGAAACUGGCAGUCUUGAGUACAGGAGAGGUGAGCGGAAUUCGUGGUGUAGCGGUGAAAUGCUUAGAUAUCACGAAGAACUCCGAUGGCGAAGGCAGUUCACUGGACUGCAACUGACACUGAGGCUCGAAAGUGUGGGUAUCAAACAGGAUUAGAUACCCUUGUAGUC